This 544-nucleotide ribosomal RNA is filed under the name uncultured bacterium. RNAcentral describes it as "partial 16S ribosomal RNA". It matches the Rfam family "Bacterial small subunit ribosomal RNA", at positions 355 to 892 of the family's 1533-position model. The record is from RNAcentral.
UGGGGAAUUUUGGACAAUGGGCGAAAGCCUGAUCCAGCAAUGCCGCGUGUGUGAAGAAGGCCUUCGGGUUGUAAAGCACUUUUGUCCGGAAAGAAAUCCUUGGCUCUAAUACAGUCGGGGGAUGACGGUACCGGAAGAAUAAGCACCGGCUAACUACGUGCCAGCAGCCGCGGUAAUACGUAGGGUGCAAGCGUUAAUCGGAAUUACUGGGCGUAAAGCAUGCGCAGGCGGUUUGCUAAGACCGAUGUGAAAUCCCCGGGCUCAACCUGGGAACUGCAUUGGUGACUGGCAGGCUAGAGUAUGGCAGAGGGGGGUAGAAUUCCACGUGUAGCAGUGAAAUGCGUAGAGAUGUGGAGGAAUACCGAUGGCGAAGGCAGCCCCCUGGGCCAAUACUGACGCUCAUGCACGAAAGCGUGGGGAGCAAACAGGAUUAGAUACCCUGGUAGUCCACGCCCUAAACGAUGUCAACUAGUUGUUGGGGAUUCAUUUCCUUAGUAACGUAGCUAACGCGUGAAGUUGACCGCCUGGGGAGUACGGUCGCAAG